CUGCAGUUGACCAGUGGCAACUGAAACCAUGGAUAAAGGGGGACUCCUUACUGCAUAACUAUGAGGAAUCCUCUGCUAAGGACCUUGUGAUCUUAAUAAGGAGACAAACCAUGAAAUGAGGAAGAUGGCAAAGAAGACAUGAACUGAGCAGAGUCAGGUGCAAUCAUUUAUGCUAUAAAGAGUAAGGAGUAUCAUCUGUUAAGAAAAUAGAAAAUAAAUAUUGACUUAUGUUAUCAGGGAGGAUGUUCUGAAAGCAGGGGAACUUGAAAAGUGUUUUGACAAAUAGUCCCAAAGUUGAGAUGGUGGUGUAGAUGGGGAGAGGAAUAUAAGGACAUGUGAGGAUUAGUGUGCUUGAAGACCUAGCUCAAGUGUCUCUUCUGCAGUGUAGCUUUUUCAAGUUGAGUUGGUUUCCACCUGCUCUGAACUUCCUCCAGCUUACAUCCAAGCUCCGAGACGGUUGCCAAAAGAAUUGUCUUUUGCCCUUUUUUCCGAGCCUUAUUUUGCUCUUCCUGUAUAUUGCCACCUUUUUCCAGGCUCACUGCUUGCAAGUAACUCUCCACUAUUAGAGGAUCCGCAAUACAGGAAGAGUAGCAGCAAGGCAUCAUUUUUGAGAUGAGUUCAUCUUAAACAAUAAUAUAUGGCAGGCACCAAACUAAUUAAGAGCCAUGGAUACAAUGAAAAUUAAGACACAAUUCUUAUCCAUUAGUAAUCUACUGUCUAAUGAGGGAAUAAACAAGCAUAUGAAUCUCCAAUUUCUAAUCCCAAUAUAAGCAAGGUCAUUCUAGGUAAGUACAAUACUUAGACACACAUACACACACAUAUGCAGACAAGCACAUAUGUACACACAUACACACAGAUGCUCACACAUAUGUGCACCUUUGCUGGUAAUUAUGUAUCAGCCAAUAAUUCAUUUGCAGAGGAGCUAACCAAAAAGAGAAAAU
This 941-nucleotide long non-coding RNA is filed under the name Homo sapiens (human). RNAcentral describes it as "HSALNT0074613". The record is from RNAcentral. Lineage: Eukaryota; Metazoa; Chordata; Mammalia; Primates; Hominidae.